Molecule: non-coding RNA, 72 nt
Organism: Phrynosoma platyrhinos (Desert horned lizard)
Lineage: Eukaryota; Metazoa; Chordata; Lepidosauria; Squamata; Phrynosomatidae
Source: the annotation of a GenBank genome assembly
ACCAGUGUGGUAUACUGGUUUGAGCAUCAGACUAUGACCCUGGAGACCAGGGUUUGAUUCCCUGCUCAGCCA